ACAAAAUGAAACAGUGCUUCCGUCUCUCUCGCUCUGCGCUUCUCACAACUCCAAACAAUCGCUUUCAGCGAAUCGCUCCCCCAUCGCUCUCUUGCCGUCGACGCUCUCAAUCUUCAUUCUCUCACUUAUCUCUCUCAAUCUCUCGAUCGCUCAACCUCGCUCACCGCCGCUCUCCAUCGCUCUUCUCUCGUCUCCCUCUCUCAACCUAAACACAAAAAAAAGAUUUCUAGUAGAGAAACAAAUAGGACGGCUCACCUUCGGUGGUGACGGUGAGCUUAAUCCUCUUCUCUCUGCUAGGUUCCUCCUGCAGUCAACAAAAUCAGGCUUCGCUUCCAAAAGCUUAGGGUUUUGAUUUGAUACUCAAAAGCUCAAAGAAGCAAAUUCCAGAAGUGCUUUUUCUGCUCAAAAACGAGUUUGUCCUAUUUGAUGCUAUUAUCCGGAAACGUGAAUUCAGAGUAUUGGUCUGAACUUGGUUUUACUUGGGAUUCGUUGCUGCAGGAUAGUAACAAAUGUCCGUUGGGUUAAUAUCCGGUUGCAAACAUCUCUAAGGUACAGUAGAGAAUUGAUGGUGUCGUUCUUCUAGCUUCCGUUAUGUCGCUUAUUGAGGUAGGUUGGAUUUAGUUACUUUGCACUUUUUUAAUGAUGCUGAUUCUAGUUUUUCUGCAAUAACUACAAGAAUUUCUCGCAAUAACCGUUCAUGCUCCUCUGGAUUCUUAAGCUUGUGGUAGUUCUUCAGAUAGUUGAAGCAAGACACCGAGGUUAGACUAUGCAUAGUUGCAACCUUUGUCGCAGUCAACAGCAGCUUUGCAUCAAGGGAAGCCAAACAUAUCGAAAAAGCCUGGUAACAAGUCAAAGGAUAUCUAUAGUCCAUAACAAACUUAGAUUUUGCCACCCUCCCUAGCUGCAAAAUUGUCUGCUUCCCAUUCUCCUCUAAAGUGAACUGAAAGUUUUUAACUGAUUUCUGAAUUACAAGUCCUGUUCUUCCUUUAUCCCUAUAGUCAAGCUCAAUUUGCUUUGUACUCUUGUUAUAGAGUGGAUCCUUUGAGUAUAGUUGAUGAACUUUGUCCAAUUUUCCUUUCCAAUUGAGUGGCAAACCCUUACUAUGUUGCACCUGUGAAGUGUUCUUGAAAGACAUAGCUUGAUGAUUAGGUAUAUAUGCUUUGAUACUUCUAUGAGUUCCUGUACAUGUUGGUAUUGUAGGUACAUACUCAACAACAGCAAGAGGCUGCUUUGAAUUUGGUUGAUUACUUUUGGAUUUGGAAUUAGGACAAUGUUUAUGAUCCCAAAUGUUGUAUUUUGAGCCGGUGAGGUUCGCUGUUACUGUCCCGAGGAAAGUUUCGUCGGAAUAAAAGAGUAAUCCUUUUUUUUUACUGCUAUGAGUUUUCUGUUGGAUAUUAAUUGAGUUUUCUUCAGUUUGUUUUUUUUUUCUUGCAGGCUAUGGUUGAUUUGCUGCUACUAUGCAUGUUGAUCCGUCAUGAAAGUUUUGCAGGUUUGAGGUUUUGGCCAGGUGACAUGAUGGACCGGGAACAAAGAAAUUGAUUGUAGUUUCCAAGAGCAAACUCUUAUGAUGUUGGUGCAGUUGGUAGCAUUUUAAACAUAUCUUGUUUUACUGCAGGAACAUGUGUCGAAGGUAUCGACGGCAUGAUGCGUCACAUGUAUGUGGUGUGAGGUUACUGUCACGGUUGUUCUUCCGGCAGGGUCAUGGCAGGUUUUACAACGCUAACCAACAGUACCGACGGCUGCAAAGAAAAUAGAGCGCACAACCAAUGUGAUAUCGGCAUCAUCGGUAAAGAUUGCUCCGGGUAAAUUGUUCCUCUCAAAAACUUCAGCAAUCAGCUUUGUAAUUAUCAAUGGAGUAGUUGGCGCACCCUUCCAGACAACCAUGUUACCGCCGACUAGUGCAAUG
Long non-coding RNA from Lathyrus oleraceus (garden pea), 1906 nucleotides. RefSeq lists it as uncharacterized. The record is from RefSeq and is a predicted model, not a curated record. The transcript has 4 exons. NCBI's taxonomy places the organism in Eukaryota, Viridiplantae, Streptophyta, Magnoliopsida, Fabales, Fabaceae.